RNAcentral lists this ribosomal RNA (1360 nucleotides) under uncultured bacterium. RNAcentral describes it as "bacterial SSU rRNA". It matches the Rfam family "Bacterial small subunit ribosomal RNA", at positions 28 to 1381 of the family's 1533-position model. The record is from RNAcentral.
GAUGAACGCUAGCUACAGGCUUAACACAUGCAAGUCGAGGGGCAGCAUUUCAGUUUGCUUGCAAACUGGAGAUGGCGACCGGCGCACGGGUGAGUAACACGUAUCCAACCUGCCGAUAACUCGGGGAUAGCCUUUCGAAAGAAAGAUUAAUACCCGAUGGCAUAAUUAGACCGCAUGGUCUUAUUAUUAAAGAAUUUCGGUUAUCGAUGGGGAUGCGUUCCAUUAGGCAGUUGGUGAGGUAACGGCUCACCAAACCUUCGAUGGAUAGGGGUUCUGAGAGGAAGGUCCCCCACAUUGGAACUGAGACACGGUCCAAACUCCUACGGGAGGCAGCAGUGAGGAAUAUUGGUCAAUGGGCGCAGGCCUGAACCAGCCAAGUAGCGUGAAGGAUGACUGCCCUAUGGGUUGUAAACUUCUUUUAUAUGGGAAUAAAGUUUUCCACGUGUGGAAUUUUGUAUGUACCAUAUGAAUAAGGAUCGGCUAACUCCGUGCCAGCAGCCGCGGUAAUACGGAGGAUCCGAGCGUUAUCCGGAUUUAUUGGGUUUAAAGGGAGCGUAGGCGGACAGUUAAGUCAGUUGUGAAAGUUUGCGGCUCAACCGUAAAAUUGCAGUUGAUACUGGCUGUCUUGAGUACAGUAGAGGUGGGCGGAAUUCGUGGUGUAGCGGUGAAAUGCUUAGAUAUCACGAAGAACUCCGAUUUGCGAAGGCAGCUCACUGGACUGCAACUGACACUGAUGCUCGAAAGUGUGGGUAUCAAACAGGAUUAGAUACCCUGGUAGUCCACACAGUAAACGAUGAAUACUCGCUGUUUGCGAUAUACAGUAAGCGGCCAAGCGAAAGCAUUAAGUAUUCCACCUGGGGAGUACGCCGGCAACGGUGAAACUCAAAGGAAUUGACGGGGGCCCGCACAAGCGGAGGAACAUGUGGUUUAAUUCGAUGAUACGCGAGGAACCUUACCCGGGCUUAAAUUGCAUUUGAAUAUAUUGGAAACAGUAUAGCCGUAAGGCAAAUGUGAAGGUGCUGCAUGGUUGUCGUCAGCUCGUGCCGUGAGGUGUCGGCUUAAGUGCCAUAACGAGCGCAACCCUUAUCUUUAGUUACUAACAGGUCAUGCUGAGGACUCUAGAGAGACUGCCGUCGUAAGAUGUGAGGAAGGUGGGGAUGACGUCAAAUCAGCACGGCCCUUACGUCCGGGGCUACACACGUGUUACAAUGGGGGGUACAGAAGGCAGCUACCUGGUGACAGGAUGCUAAUCCCAAAAGCCUCUCUCAGUUCGGAUCGAAGUCUGCAACCCGACUUCGUGAAGCUGGAUUCGCUAGUAAUCGCGCAUCAGCCAUGGCGCGGUGAAUACGUUCCCGGGCCU